GCAAAUCUGAAGCAUCAUCUUGCACAGGAAUUUGAAGUGAAGGACUUGGGAAAACUGAGAUAUUUUCUUGGUAUAGAGGUCUCACGGGGGUCAAAGGGCAUUUUUCUCUCACAGCGGAAAUAUAUCUUGGAUUUGCUCAAGGAAACAGGUAUGCUUGGUUGUCGACCUGCAGCUACACCUAUUGAGCAAAAUCAUCGUUUAAGUAGUGAUGCAGGUACACCCGUGGAUCGAGAGCGCUAUCAGAGACUUGUUGGAAGGAUCCUAAGGUAUCUUAAAGGGUGCCCAGGAAGAGGCCUUUUAUAUACCAGACAAGGAAACUUACAAGUUGAGUGCUAUACUGACGCUGAUUGGGCUGGUUCCCUAGAUGACCGACGCUCAACAUCUGGUUAUUGUGCAUUUGUAGGAGGAAACCUAGUUUCUUGGCGAAGUAAAAAGCAAGGUGUAGUGGCUCGAUCUACUGCAGAGGCUGAGUUUAGAUCUAUGGCUCACGGCAUAUGUGAGUUACUAUGGAUACAUAUCCUCCUAGCAGAGCUGCGGCUGUAC
RNAcentral lists this ribosomal RNA (543 nucleotides) under Triticum aestivum (bread wheat). RNAcentral's name for it is "partial small subunit ribosomal RNA". The record is from RNAcentral. Lineage: Eukaryota; Viridiplantae; Streptophyta; Magnoliopsida; Poales; Poaceae.